AUGACGCCCUAGAUUGUUCUGUUACACAAGGGGUACCAAAGUCCACUCUGAGCUUUUCCUCUGGGAACAGAUCCCAGAUUAUUCCAGACUUAAGACAUGGAGAUAUAUCUUGCUAGAGCCCCCAGUAUAUAUUCAGUGUGUCCUCUGAAGUAACAACCAUCCCAUCUGGCUGAGAAGUGAUGGACACGGCUCCUUAACCACACUGUACCCUCUGUUCUUGGCACCUCUCUACCAGAAAGAUAUCAACAAAUUGGAUGGAAUUCAGAGAACAGUAAGAAAAAUGAUUAAAGAGAUGGAGGCAGUGACUUAUGAGGAAAGAUGAAAAGGACUAAAUCUAUGUAGCUUGGCAAAGCAACAACUGAGGUGGCGUAUGAAAACUGUCUACAAGCAUUUGAAGAAUAUAAACACCAAGGGAAGAGAGGGAACUUUUUAGAAUGGUCUGGGGAAUAAGCAGAGUAAGAGGACAGAAUUGAAGAAAGGAGAGAGAUAUGCUAAGUUGGGGGUGGGGGCGUUUUCUCAUCAAUUGUAAAUUUUGAUAAAUAACAAAAUUAAGUCUGGAGAGAAAGAGUUGCAUCUCAUGCUUUUAGGUUACAAUCAGUGUUGACCUGCACUGAGAAAAUGUGACUUCCUAUUAUCCUUCUCAAAGUUAUUGCUGCAGAGGAAAGAAGCAUACAUCUUUUACCCACCAGGAAACCCCCAAAGCAUCUAUUACCAUAAUAGCCAUGGGAAACAGAAGGCACCUCAAAUAAAGGUGGGGAAAAGAAUGAAAGAAAUGGCUUUGGCCUGUGCCUGUUUGACCUCUGAGAGAUACUUUUUGCAAGAAAUUGUUAAGUUUUGGCCCAAAAAGUGGUCGGUCUUUUAUCCUUCCUUGUG
Long non-coding RNA from Homo sapiens (human), 873 nucleotides. Ensembl annotates it as tumor suppressor candidate 7. Its record names the gene TUSC7. The record is from Ensembl. Lineage: Eukaryota; Metazoa; Chordata; Mammalia; Primates; Hominidae.